UCUCCGUUGGUGAACCAGCGGAGGGAUCAUUACCGAGUUUACAACUCCCAAACCCCCGUGAACAUACCAUUUGUUGCCUCGGCGGUGCCUGCUUCGGCAGCCCGCCAGAGGACCCAAACCCUUGAUUUUAUACAGUAUCUUCUGAGUAAAUGAUAAAAUAAAUCAAAACUUUCAACAACGGAUCUCUUGGUUCUG
This 195-nucleotide unclassified non-coding RNA is filed under the name plant metagenome. RNAcentral describes it as "partial contains small subunit ribosomal RNA, internal transcribed spacer 1, and 5.8S ribosomal RNA". The record is from RNAcentral.